AUUGGCCCAACCAAACACCUCCACUACUCUCGAAUCCUUUAUUAAAAAAGAAAAAAAACCACCAAAUUCCUCUAACUUUCCCUUUAUUGCAUUUCUGUCCCUUACACUUUCCCUUUCUCUCCGCUCUCUCCAUCUGCUGUCUUUUUCCUUCAGCUGACCCCAUGCCAUAGCUCUGCCUCUGCUUCUCCGACAAAAUGCCUUCUCUCCCCAAGUCCCCCCCUACUCCUCCUUCGCUUCUCCACCAAGACAAUUCCGAAGCCGAGCGCCGUCUCCGCGAGGCGGAGGAGCGCUUGCGUGAGGCCAUUGAGGAGCUCCAGCGCCGGCAGCGUAGGGCUGCACGUGGUGGUCCUUAUCCCCCCUGUGAUCACCCGCCUGAUGAAUGUUGUGUGGCUCACGCUAUUGGCAAUCUCUGCCAGAGCUUCCUUCUCUCGUACGGCGUCAGAGUCGGUGUUGGUAUCCUGCUUCGAGCUUUCAAGCUCGCUAAAGGACAGUCUUACUCCUCCCUUCUGGAUCUCAAGGUGAACUCUAUCUAUUUACGUGACAGUUUCGCAAUUUUCACUAUAAUUAUGCUUAAUUGCUGUAGUACAACAAAUAAUCGAUUGAAUUUGCUAUAAUGGGUGAAAAUUUGAAUCUCAAUUUUGAUGGCAGCAACUUGUAUCAGAGAAAGAUUUAAUAGUGAGAGAAGAAGCAUGCCGAGUUGGUUUACUGUUUGGAGGAUUUACAGGGUCCUAUCAUGCACUCAGAUGCUUAUUGAGAAAGUUGAGAAGGAAAGAGACGCCAUUUAAUGCAAUUUUAGCGGGUUCGGUUGCAGGGUUGUCUGUUUUAGCAUUAGAUGAUUCCAACCGGAGGCGUACUCUUGCUCUUUAUCUCUUGGCUAGAGUAGCUCAGUGUGCGUAUAAUUCUGCAAAGUCUAAGAACAAGUUUCACCUUUGGGGAAGCCAUUGGAGACAUGGUGACACGUUGCUCUUUGCUUUUGCAUGUGCCCAGGUUAUGUAUGCAUUUGUCAUGCGUCCCGAGAGCUUGCCAAAACCAUAUCAUGACUUUAUUCAGAAGACUGGGCCAGUUGCACUGCCUGUGUACAAGGCUGUGAGAGAUAGCUGCAGAGCUGGCCCAGUGGAUGUUGCCUCACUAUCAGCUUACUUAUCUAGCAGAGGGAAACUCAGUUCUGUGAAGUUGGAAGAGUUCCCUUCGAUUAUUCCUUGUUCUGUUAUUCAUCCAGACACAUAUUCAUGUUUAAAUCAUAAUGCUAAAGCAGCAUCAGCUACAUUCAGAAGAACUUUUCCGCUUUACUUCUCAUUGACUUUUGUACCAUAUGUUGUUCUACACCUUCAGAAGUUCACGGAUGCACCUGCUCGUACAUGUUGGCUUGCUGUUAGAGAUGCUGUUCGCUCGACAACAUUCUUAUCUGCAUUUGUUGGAAUUUUUCAGGCGGUGAUAUGUCUGCAUAGAAAAGUUGCAACAGUAGACCACAAAGUUGUUUAUUGGAUCGCGGGAGGAAUGUCAGCCCUUUCAGUGCUACUAGAGAAAAAAUCUAAACGUGCUGAACUGGCCUUGUAUGUUCUGCCACGAGCUGGAGAUUCGUUGUGGUAUAUUUUAAUUAAUCGCCACCUGCUUCCAGACAUUAAGAAUGCAGAGGUGGCUUUAUUUUGUGCAUGCAUGGGAGGAAUAAUGUACUACUUGGAAUAUGAGCCAGGCACUAUGGCUCCAUUCCUCAGGGGUCUAAUCCGUCGCUUCCUUGCCAGCAGAAUAAGCAAUCCAAGCUCUCCAUCUAAUCGGAAUGCUUCGUAUACAUAUUUGCAGACUCUUGAUGCUAUGACGUCACCAAAAUUGCAGGAGAGCAGAGAGGCUGAAGCUUCAUCGUCUCAGAAAUACAAUCUUGAAUCCAUUCCAGGGCUGUAAGUGUAUUUUGGUGGCUCAAGUAUGAUUGCCUCCUGAACUCUACCCCGCCAUUCUUUCAUAAUUCAAUUUUUAUAUCAUUUAUUAUUAGGUAGAUGACUUCUGCUUAAUACGUUAGAAUUGGCCACAUUGAGAAUAAUGUUUCAUGCUUUGAAUUAUGGCCCAUUCAAAUGUGUUAAGAGGGAUUAGGUUUUAUUUCAUCUAGAGACAGGUUUGUCUAUUCCCUUAUGAUUUUAUGCCCUAGAUGCUGAAGGGUUUUAAUUAAUGAUAGUUUUAUAAAUAAUAUUUUCCUUCUAAAUAUUUUGUAUGUGCUUUAACUCAUGGUUUAUUUUGUAAUAUGUAAAAUCGGUGAAUUUUUUCACCAUUUUUUCCUCUCUUUCUUAUUAUACCAUUAGAAAUCAUUCUUGUCCUUGUAUUUGGAUGACUUACAUUCCUAGUUCUCUGCCGUUCCUGAGUUCUGCCGAUUAUGAAAAUAAUGUUGUUGAUGAUGAUUAUAUGUUAUCAUCUUUAGUACAACAAAAAAAGUCUAGUUAUCCUCAGGCCAAGCAAAUAGCUGACAUGUAUCACCUUAUUCCCUGACCGCCCGCCCUCUCUUUUUUGCACGCAAUUCUUUUUCAAAAUUUAUUUAAUUUUAUUUAUGUCCAGUCAACUAAAUCAAUAUUAUAAAUAAAAAAAUAUAUAAAUUUGACUGCACACCCUUGGAUUCCUUUCACCAGAGAGAAAUUCUUCCCAAACUUAUUCUUUAAAUUUUGUGCGAGAAGCAGUGAACCACGCUAAUAAGUCCAUCUGCCAGAAGAUCAUAGCGGAAAAGACAACUCCAUUAUAUCAGAAUGGAUGUAAGGUUGCUGGAGGCAGGUCAAAUUGGAGAUAAAGGUUACUUGCAGCGAUUACUCAUAGAAAAUCCACUCAUCUCAAUAAUAUAGCACUAUUUUCAUCAGAAAAUCCCAUUCACGCGUCUUCCAUUGCCAGCUUAAGGAGAUCUUAAGGCUGAGACCAGAAUUGCCAAAGAAAUAAACCAAGAUGGGUUUAGUCCCCUGCAUAUGGCAGCACCCAAUGGGCACGUAGAGAUUUUCAUGGAGCUGAUGAAAAUUGAUAGCAGACUAUGCCGUUUAGAGUGAAAAGAGAAGAAGACUCCUCUUCACUGUGCAGCUAUCAAGGGGAGGGCCGACAUGGUGCUCGUGUUGUCCUAAUUGUAUUGAAGACUGCUUUGCACCAGGCAGUUAAGAGAAACCAGUUUCAAGCAGUAAAUGUAUUGUUGAAUUGUAUUAGAGAAAAGAGAAGGGGAGAUUUGUUGAGCUUGAAGGAUGAAUUAGGCAACAUUGCAGCCUGGAAAAGACAACGUCAGGUGAUAGAGUUGUUCCUUGGUUCUGGCACUAAUAACUCAGGCAUUUUGGAAGUGAAUGCCAAAAACAACAUUGGCCCUACUGCCCAGGCCCUUGAUAUGGUAUUAGUUUUCCCAGUGAGGCAGGUGACACAGAAAUCACAGAGAUCCUUCCGGGUGCUGGAGCUACGCCAACAAAAGAGAUCAGCCUCGCUGCCAUUUCCUCAUUUCAAUGUGUCAAUCAGAACUCAGCAUUCACAGGGUAUAGACUCUCCUUGUGAGGCUAGGAGUGCACUAUUAGUUAUUGCAGUUCUUGUAGCAACUGCAACAUUUCAAGUCGGAGUUAGCCCUCCAGGAUGUGUUUGGCAAGACAGUUAUACACCAGAUCAAAGUAACAGCACCAGAGCCAUCAUAAGAAAAGCACAUUAUGCAGGGGAAUCAAUUUUAGCAACAUCUGGUCCAAUUACAUUUGCACUUUUUGUGCUUUUCAACUAGAUAGGAUUAUCAUUAUCUCUUUUUAUGAUCCACAGAAUCACAAAUAGGUUCCCCUUGCAAUUUGAACUACAAAUGUGCAUAGUUGCAAUGUAUUUUACUUAUAACACUGCAUCAAUAAACAUGUCGCUACACAAAAUGAAGCUCUAUGUCGUUUGGUGACUGUAAUCUUGUCUUCACUCACACCAAUUAUAGCCAAGUCCAUAAGAUUACAUGCAAAUAAGAUAGCAGAGUUUGUAGUGGAUAGGAUUCGUCGUUUGAACAUCAAUG
This 3979-nucleotide unclassified non-coding RNA is filed under the name Hevea brasiliensis (rubber tree). The record is from RNAcentral. Lineage: Eukaryota; Viridiplantae; Streptophyta; Magnoliopsida; Malpighiales; Euphorbiaceae.